AUACAGAGGCCUUGCAGCGACGAAAAACAUUGGUCCUCGAGUGUAAAGGCAGAAGGGAGCUUGACUGCAAGACUCACCCGUUGAGCAGAGACGAAAGUCGGCCUUAGUGAUCCGACAAUGCCGAGUGGAAGGGCCGUCGCUCAAU
This 145-nucleotide non-coding RNA is filed under the name Triticum aestivum (bread wheat). Its description in RNAcentral is "Bacterial large subunit ribosomal RNA". It matches the Rfam family "Bacterial large subunit ribosomal RNA", at positions 2308 to 2453 of the family's 2925-position model. The record is from Rfam by way of RNAcentral. RNAcentral also lists the same sequence under 1 other name. Lineage: Eukaryota; Viridiplantae; Streptophyta; Magnoliopsida; Poales; Poaceae.